This 1139-nucleotide long non-coding RNA is filed under the name Capsella grandiflora. RNAcentral describes it as "long non-coding RNA (CGRA_LNC001545)". The record is from RNAcentral. Lineage: Eukaryota; Viridiplantae; Streptophyta; Magnoliopsida; Brassicales; Brassicaceae.
UUUGAUUUAGAGUUUGAUCAAUCAAAGAUUUGAUUACACUAAGCUGUAUAGCUCUUUAUGUUACCUCAUUCACAUUUCCAAGGUGUCCAAUUCUGAAAACCUUUCCUGCCACUUUGUUGAGACCAAGACCAAGACUUAGGUUGUACCUCUGCCAUGCCCUUCUCACUACCUCUGAGCCGUCUAUAUUUGGGGGCACCAUUACUGCUGUCACAGUGUUACUUAUCCACUCCUCCUUCUGUGUGCAGUUCUUCAGCCCCCAUGCUUCUACCGCCAGCCUAUGUACAUGACCAUAUUAACAAUCAAACUCUAGUUAUAAUGUUAUCAAGACUUUGUACUAUCAAGACUCUAAGAGAAUUAAACUAUUUAAGACUACGAAUUCGAUUACUCGCAUAGGAAGAUGAAAUGUUUUAUGGAUCAAAAUCGCGUUACAUAGCUAAAUUUUACCUAGUGGCCUUUCCGAGACGAGCAUGACGAGCGAUUAUAUUCUCAAGUCCUUCCUCGAAGAUAAGAUCAAGAGCGGCUCUGAGACCGUAGAGGAGUUGAAUGGAAGGUGUGUAAGGCCAAUAGGUUCCAAGCUUGUAAAACUUGAGGUAGUCAUUCCAAUCAAAGAAUACUUUGAGGGAUUUAGAGGUUUUUGUAGCUUCCAAGGCUUUAGGACUGGCACACACAAUACCAAGUCCUGUUGGUAGAGAUAAGGCUUUCUGGGAGCCGGUCAAGGCAACAUCCACUCCCCACUCAUCCAUUCGGAAAUCAAGCGCACAAAUGGACGAGACACCGUCCACAAGCAGCAAGGCCGGGUGCUUGUAGUGAUCUGUUUUAUACACUUGUGUUAGUGAGAUUUAAAACAGAGGAAACACACAAAAAUACAAGGAGAUGAUUAGUGAGGAGUUAAUAACCAAGGAGGGUUCGGACAGCAGAGAUGUCAUUGGUGACUCCAGUAGCUGUCUCAUUGUGGACAAUGCAAAUGGCUUUGAUGGAAUGACUCGCAUCUUCAGAGAGCUUCGAGGCCAACACUUGGAGAUUAGCACCUUGUCCCCAAUCACUCUCAACCACAUCAACAUUGAAAUUUAGCCUCUUCUGCUGGUCAAUCCAGAGCAAGCUAAACUGUCCAAUCAGAAACGAGACGAUCCUGUCUCCAG